UAAUACGGAGGGUGCAAGCGUUACUCGGAAUCACUGGGCGUAAAGGACGCGUAGGCGGGAUGGUAAGUCUGAUGUGAAAUCCUACAGCUCAACUGUAGAACUGCAUUGGAAACUACUAACCUAGAGUAUGGGAGGGGGAGAUGGAAUUAGUGGUGUAGGGGUAGAAUCCGUAGAUAUCACUAGGAAUACCUAAAGCGAAGGCGAUCUCCUGGAACAAUACUGACGCUAAGGCGUGAAAGCGUGGGGAGCAAACGGGAUUAGAUACCCCGGUAGUCCACGCCCUAAACGAUGAACACUAGUCGUCGGAAAGCUUGCCUUUUCGGUGAUGCACUUAACAGAUUAAGUGUUCCGCCUGGGGAGUACGGUCGCAAAAUUA
This 376-nucleotide ribosomal RNA is filed under the name uncultured Campylobacterota bacterium. Its description in RNAcentral is "bacterial SSU rRNA". It matches the Rfam family "Bacterial small subunit ribosomal RNA", at positions 521 to 896 of the family's 1533-position model. The record is from RNAcentral. Lineage: Bacteria; Pseudomonadati; Campylobacterota.